UCCGCUUCCCGGAGUUCGAGAGCACCAGCACCGGCGCCGUCGCGGCCGCCGCCGUCGGAGACGGCGACGGCGACGGCGACGCCUGGUCCAUCCGCUUCCCGGAGCUCGACAGCACCAGCACCGGCGCCGGGGAGGGGGACGGCGAGGCCCCCUGGUCCAUCCGCUUCCCGGAGUUCGACAGCACCAACACCGGCGCCGGGGAGGGGGACGGCGAGGCCCCCUGGUCCAUCCGCUUCCCGGAGUUGGAUAGCACGCGCACCGGAGCCGGCGACGGCGCCUUCGCCGAGGGGGACGGCGAGCUGGGGUUCGCCAACCCCAUCUCCAGGUCCCUCUC
This 334-nucleotide long non-coding RNA is filed under the name Ananas comosus (pineapple). RNAcentral's name for it is "long non-coding RNA (ACOM_LNC027526)". The record is from RNAcentral. Lineage: Eukaryota; Viridiplantae; Streptophyta; Magnoliopsida; Poales; Bromeliaceae.